RNAcentral lists this ribosomal RNA (334 nucleotides) under Staphylococcus pseudintermedius. Its description in RNAcentral is "bacterial SSU rRNA". It matches the Rfam family "Bacterial small subunit ribosomal RNA", at positions 106 to 434 of the family's 1533-position model. The record is from RNAcentral. Lineage: Bacteria; Bacillati; Bacillota; Bacilli; Caryophanales; Staphylococcaceae.
GUGAGUAACACGUGGGUAACCUACCUAUAAGACUGGAAUAACUCCGGGAAACCGGGGCUAAUGCCGGAUAACAUGUUGAACCGCAUGGUUCUACAGUGAAAGACGGUCUUGCUGUCACUUAUAGAUGGACCCGCGCCGUAUUAGCUAGUUGGUGGGGUAACGGCCUACCAAGGCGACGAUACGUAGCCGACCUGAGAGGGUGAUCGGCCACACUGGAACUGAGACACGGUCCAGACUCCUACGGGAGGCAGCAGUAGGGAAUCUUCCGCAAUGGGCGAAAGCCUGACGGAGCAACGCCGCGUGAGUGAUGAAGGUCUUCGGAUCGUAAAGCUCU